This 253-nucleotide ribosomal RNA is filed under the name uncultured bacterium. RNAcentral describes it as "partial 16S ribosomal RNA". It matches the Rfam family "Bacterial small subunit ribosomal RNA", at positions 524 to 776 of the family's 1533-position model. The record is from RNAcentral.
UACGUAGGGGGCUAGCGUUGUCCGGAAUCAUUGGGCGUAAAGAGCGUGUAGGCGGCCCGGUAAGUCCGCUGUGAAAGUCGGGGGCUCAACCCUCGAAUGCCGGUGGAUACUGUCGGGCUAGAGUGCGGAAGAGGCGAGUGGAAUUCCCGGUGUAGCGGUGAAAUGCGCAGAUAUCGGGAGGAACACCUAUGGCGAAGGCAGCUCGCUGGGACGUUACUGACGCUGAGACGCGAAAGCGUGGGGAGCAAACAGG